UACGUAGGAGACGAGCGUUGUCCGGAGUUACUGGGCGUAAAGGGUGCGCAGGCGGCCUCGCGCGUCGCGAGUGAAAUCUCCCGGCUCAACUGGGAGGGUGGUCGCGAGACGGCGGGGCUUGAGGCGUGGAGAGGGGCGUGGAAUUCCGGGUGGAGCGGUGAAAUGCGUAGAGAUCCGGAGGAACACCGACGGCGAAGGCAGCGCCCUGGACACGACCUGACGCUCAGGCACGGAAAGCGCGGGGAGCGAACGAG
This 254-nucleotide ribosomal RNA is filed under the name uncultured bacterium. RNAcentral's name for it is "partial 16S ribosomal RNA". It matches the Rfam family "Bacterial small subunit ribosomal RNA", at positions 524 to 776 of the family's 1533-position model. The record is from RNAcentral.